This is a non-coding RNA of Schistosoma curassoni, 45 nucleotides long. Lineage: Eukaryota; Metazoa; Platyhelminthes; Trematoda; Strigeidida; Schistosomatidae. The record is from Rfam.
AUUCAACUGAUGAGUCCCAAAUAGGAUGAAACACAUGUCCUAGAU